This 490-nucleotide ribosomal RNA is filed under the name uncultured bacterium. Its description in RNAcentral is "partial 16S ribosomal RNA". It matches the Rfam family "Bacterial small subunit ribosomal RNA", at positions 28 to 507 of the family's 1533-position model. The record is from RNAcentral.
GAUGAACGCUAGCGAUAGGCUUAACACAUGCAAGUCGAGGGGCAGCAUGGUCUUAGCUUGCUAAGACUGAUGGCGACCGGCGCACGGGUGCGUAACGCGUAUGCAACUUGCCUCACAGAGGGGGAUAACCCGUCGAAAGACGGACUAAUACCGCGUACACUCCAUCUUGGGCAUCCAAGGUAGAGGAAAUGAAAUUCGCUGUGAGAUAGGCAUGCGUCCCAUUAGCUAGUUGGUGAGGUAACGGCUCACCAAGGCGACGAUGGGUAGGGGAACUGAGAGGUUGAACCCCCACACUGGUACUGAGACACGGACCAGACUCCUACGAGAGGCAGCAGUGAGGAAUAUUGGUCAAUGGGCGAGAGCCUGAACCAGCCAAGUCGCGUGAAGGAUGACUGUCUUAUGGAUUGUAAACUUCUUUUAUACGGGAAUAACAAGAGUCACGUGUGACUCCCUGCAUGUACCGUAUGAAUAAGCAUCGGCUAACUCCGUG